RNAcentral lists this ribosomal RNA (492 nucleotides) under uncultured bacterium. RNAcentral describes it as "partial 16S ribosomal RNA". It matches the Rfam family "Bacterial small subunit ribosomal RNA", at positions 28 to 507 of the family's 1533-position model. The record is from RNAcentral.
GAUGAACGCUAGCUACAGGCCUAACACAUGCAAGUCGAGGGGAAACGGCAUCGAAAGCUUGCUUUUGAUGGGCGUCGACCGGCGCACGGGUGAGGAACGCGUCUCCAACCUGCCCAUUACUUGGGAAUAACCUUGCGAAAGUAAGACUAAUGCCCAAUGACAUCCCACGAAGGCAUCCGAAUGGGACUAAAGAUUUAUCGGUGAUGGAUGGGGAUGCGUCUGAUUAGCUUGUUGGCGGGGUGACGGCUAACCAAGGCAACGAUGAGUAGGGGUUCUGAGAGGAAGGUCCCCCAGAAUGGAACUGAGGCACAGACCAAACUGCUACGGGGGGGAGCAGUAUGGAAUAUUAGGCAAGAAACGAGGGCCUAGACCAGCCAAGUGGGGUACAGGAUGACGGGGCUAUGGGUUGUAAACUGCUUUUGUAAGGGGAUAAAGUGGGUCACGUGUGACUUUUUGCAGGUACCUUAUGAAUAAGCACCGGCUAAUUCCGUG